This 253-nucleotide ribosomal RNA is filed under the name uncultured bacterium. RNAcentral's name for it is "partial 16S ribosomal RNA". It matches the Rfam family "Bacterial small subunit ribosomal RNA", at positions 524 to 776 of the family's 1533-position model. The record is from RNAcentral.
UACGUAGGGGGCAAGCGUUGUCCGGAUUUAUUGGGCGUAAAGAGCGUGUAGGCGGCUUUACAGGUCCGUUGUGAAAACUCGAGGCUCAACCUCGAGACGCCGGUGGAAACCGUAAAGCUAGAGUCCGGAAGAGGAGAGUGGAAUUUCGUGUGUAGGGGUGAAAUCCGUAAAUAUACGAAGGAACGCCAAAAGCGAAGGCAGCUCUCUGGGUCCCUACCGACGCUGGGGUGCGAAAGCAUGGGGAGCGAACAGG